CGGAGGGUGCAAGCGUUAUCCGGAUUCACUGGGUUUAAAGGGUGUGUAGGCGGGCAGUUAAGUCAGUGGUGAAAUCUCCGGGCUCAACCCGGAAACUGCCAUUGAUACUAUCUGUCUUGAAUACCGAUGAGGUGGGCGGAAUAUGUCAUGUAGCGGUGAAAUGCAUAGAUAUGACAUAGAAUACCAAUUGCGAAGGCAGCUCACUAAACGGUCAUUGACGCUGAGGCACGAAAGCGUGGGGAUCAAACAGGAUUAGAUACCCUGGUAGUCCACGCCCUAAACGAUGAUUACUCGACAUACGCGAUACACAGUGUGUGACUGAGCGAAAGCAUUAAGUAAUCCACCUGGGAAGUACGUCCGCAAGGAUG
RNAcentral lists this ribosomal RNA (368 nucleotides) under uncultured organism. Its description in RNAcentral is "bacterial SSU rRNA". It matches the Rfam family "Bacterial small subunit ribosomal RNA", at positions 526 to 896 of the family's 1533-position model. The record is from RNAcentral.